RNAcentral lists this long non-coding RNA (277 nucleotides) under Setaria italica (foxtail millet). Its description in RNAcentral is "long non-coding RNA (SITA_LNC002506)". The record is from RNAcentral. Lineage: Eukaryota; Viridiplantae; Streptophyta; Magnoliopsida; Poales; Poaceae.
CUCUUUUAAUUUGCUCGUGCCUGUGUGUUUUUUUCUUUUUUCUCAUGGCUGUGUUUUGGAAGCGUGCUGUAGUGUCCCCAGCAAUUUUUUUGGUCCAAAAGCUUUGGCUUAUGUUUGGCACGCACAUUUCGUUUACUAGUCUUUCAAAACAAUGGGGUAGCCACAGUCAUUUAGAUGGAACAAUUGGUACGGUGCAGUAGCUAAUUCCGUUUUUUGUAGCAUUUUCAGGUGCACUUCAGAUACUCAAUCUGUAUGAUGUUCCCCGGCCCGUUCAAAC